CUACGUGCCAGCAGCCGCGGUAAUACGGAAGGUCCAGGCGUUAUCCGGAUUUAUUGGGUUUAAAGGGAGCGUAGGCUGGAGAUUAAGUGUGUUGUGAAAUGUAGACGCUCAACGUCUGACUUGCAGCGCAUACUGGUUUCCUUGAGUACGCACAACGUUGGCGGAAUUCGUCGUGUAGCGGUGAAAUGCUUAGAUAUGACGAAGAACUCCGAUUGCGAAGGCAGCUGACGGGAGCGCAACUGACGCUUAAGCUCGAAGGUGCGGGUAUCAAACAGGAUUAGAUACCCUGGUAGUCCGCACAGUAAACGAUGGAUGCCCGCUGUUGGUACCUGGUAUCAGCGGCUAAGCGAAAGCAUUAAGCAUCCCACCUGGGGAGUACGCCGGCAACGGUGAAACUCAAAGGAAUUGACGGGGGCCCGCACAAGCGGAGGAACAUGUGGUUUAAUUCGAUGAUACGCGAGGAACCUUACCCGAGCUUGAA
This 481-nucleotide ribosomal RNA is filed under the name uncultured bacterium. RNAcentral describes it as "bacterial SSU rRNA". It matches the Rfam family "Bacterial small subunit ribosomal RNA", at positions 501 to 985 of the family's 1533-position model. The record is from RNAcentral.